CGGCGACGCUACCUGUAGAUCUCGCUCUGUCCUCCGCUUCGCUUCAAGCAUUUCAUCUCCUCGAACGACAGGAGAUCCAAAGCACCAGAAGCAUGAGAGAAACCCUAUCAAGUAUUGGAAACACCUUUCUACAAACACCACCAGGAUAAGUUCUUUAAAGAUCGGCACUAUUUGGAGAAGGAUUGGGACACCACUUCUUGCCAUCCGGCGAGAAGGGCCAGGCUUCUGCUCAUCCCAAGGUCGUGUUGGAGUAAGUAUAUGGAAUUUUAGAUUCUUG
Phoenix dactylifera (date palm) is the source of this 277-nucleotide non-coding RNA. NCBI's taxonomy places the organism in Eukaryota, Viridiplantae, Streptophyta, Magnoliopsida, Arecales, Arecaceae. The record is from RefSeq and is a predicted model, not a curated record.